UUACGGUGAUAUCACGCUGAAACACCGGUUCUUGUUCGAUCACCGAAGUUAAGCAACGUUAAGUCUGGUCAGUAGUCAGAUUAGUGACCGUUGGGAAAUACCAGAUGU
Non-coding RNA from Acanthosepion pharaonis, 108 nucleotides. NCBI's taxonomy places the organism in Eukaryota, Metazoa, Mollusca, Cephalopoda, Sepiida, Sepiidae. The record is from the annotation of a GenBank genome assembly.